CUUUGCGGCGCGGGACGGAGGGGUGGAUCGAGCGCUCGGCCGAUCGGCUGCUUCGACUGCGCUGCCCGUUGCUAGGCGGUUUGCACGCAGUUGCCGUGGUUACGGCCCGCCUGCCAUGGAGCCCGACAAGAGAAGAACCAAAGAAGAUACCUGGAAAUCAGAUGAACUGAAGAAACAUCUUAGGGUGUCACAAUCAGAUAGUCAGUCUGAAGACAAGAAACACAAAGAAAAGAAAUUGCAAAGAGAGAGAGAGAUUCAUGACACGGUUGAUUACAAAGGAUACAGAGAUCAAGACAAAGACCGAGGAAAGACCAAAGAAAGGACGGGAGAAAGAGAAAGAUUUAAAUCUAGUGAAAGAGACAGGGAAAAAUUGCGGGAGAGAGAAGGGGGAAAAGAUCAUCACAGAGAACGAGAGAGAGAGAAAGUUAAAGAUAAAGAUGCAGAGAAGAAAAAAUAUAGUACAAGAAGAGAAAAAGAAAAGGAGAGUGAUAAGGAAGCACAAAGAAAACAAAAAAGGGAUCAUUUGAAGCAAAUGCUUAUACAGAGUGACCAGAGGGCUUAUGAAGGAAGGGAAAAGGGCCAUCAUAGAAGGAGAGGGAGCAAGGAUCAUUUAGAAGACAACACAAAAGCAAGAGAUGAAGAGAAAGAAAGAUGUCAUACAGAAAGAAAGGUAAACUGAGGAAAUAAAUUAAGUGUUUUAUAAUGGCA
RNAcentral lists this long non-coding RNA (708 nucleotides) under Crocodylus porosus (Australian saltwater crocodile). Its description in RNAcentral is "lncRNA (ENSCPRG00005006175.1)". The record is from RNAcentral. Lineage: Eukaryota; Metazoa; Chordata; Crocodylia; Crocodylidae.